AGCACCCCUACAAGUUUGUCUUUCUGGUCAGUAGUUAGGUCAGAUGCAAUGAUCACUGGAAAGGUAUCAUUAGGUCCAAGAAAUGAAUAUUUCAGCAUGGCAGGAAGAGACUUUAGUUCUAGAGUAGGUGGUGCUUCUAGGGAUGGUACCAGAGGACUUGAUUGAGUUGGUAAUUGUUCAUAUUUUACAGUCCAAGGGGGA
Molecule: long non-coding RNA, 201 nt
Filed under: Elaeis guineensis (African oil palm)
Lineage: Eukaryota; Viridiplantae; Streptophyta; Magnoliopsida; Arecales; Arecaceae
Description: long non-coding RNA (EGUI_LNC027908)
Source: RNAcentral